AUGACUGGGGUGGCGCUGGCUGGCUUAAAGUUAGCAGCAUCGCCAAUCCUGAAGAGGCUCCUCGCUGAUGCUUCAAUGUUCCUUGGAGUGGACAUGGCAAGUGAGCUCCAUGAACUGGAGACCACAAUUAUGCCGCAGUUCGAGCUGAUGGUUGAAGCAGCUAACAAAGGCAACCACAUGGUCAAGUUGGACAAAUGGGUCCAAGAGCUCAAAGAAGCCUUCUACAAGGCUGAGGAUCUGCUGGACAUGCAUGAGUAUGACCUCCUUGAGCGCAAAGCAAAGAAUGGGGGAGAUUGCCCACCACCGUGUGCCUCAUCCAUCAGCACUAUUUUGAAGCCUCUGCGUGCUGCAUCUAACAGAUUAUCCAAUGUUCGCCCAAAGAACAAGAAGCUACUUUUCCAGCUGAAUGAAUUGAAGGCCAUUCUAGCGAAAGGGAAGGGGUUCUCUGAGCUUCUUUGUUUACCAGGUGGUAACAGUGCAGAGAGGCCCAUUAUUCCUCAGGCCACAUCAUUACCACCUCUGAAAGUAAUAGGUCGUGACAAGGAUCGCGAUGAUAUAAUAAACCUUCUUACCGAGCCGGUUGCUGUUGAAGCUAAUUCAGCUGUAUAUGCGGGUUUGGCCAUUGUCGGAGCAGGAGGUAUGGGAAAAUCCACCUUGGCACAACAUGUUUACAAUGACAAGAGGGUGCAAGAACAUUUUGAUGUCAGGAUGUGGGUGUGCAUCUCACGCAAACUUGAUGUCCAUCGUCAUACACGGGAGAUAAUCGAAUCCGCAGCUAAGAGGGAGUGCCCACAUCUUGAUAAUCUGGAUACUCUCCACUGCCAAUUAAGGGACAUACUGCAGAAGUCUGAGAAAUUCUUGCUUGUAUUGGAUGAUGUUUGGUUUGAUGAUUCGAGUAGUCAGAUGGAAUGGGACCAACUGCUAGCUCCCCUAGUUUCUCAGCACAAGGGAAGCAAAGUUUUGGUAACUUCUCGACAGGAUACAUUUCCUUCCGCUCUUUACUGUGAAAAGGUGCUCCGCUUGGAAAGCAUGGAAGAUACUCAGUUCUUGGCACUCUUCAAAUACUAUGCCUUCACUGGAGCACAAAUUGGAGACCCUCCGUUGCUUGAAAGGCUAGAAGCGAUUGCAGAGGAGAUAGCUAAAAGGCUUGGACAGUCUCCUUUGGCUGCAAAAGUUGUUGGUUCCCAGUUGAAAGGGAAAAUGAAUAUCUCUGCCUGGAAAGAUGCUCUGACUUUAAAGAUUGACAACUUAAGUGAGCCUAGAAUGGCUCUGUUGUGGAGUUAUCAGAAGUUAGAUCCACGUCUGCAGAGGUGCUUUGUAUAUUGUAGUUUGUUUCCAAAAGGGCACAGGUAUAACACUGAUGAGUUGGUUCACCUGCUGAUAGCGGAGGGGCUUGUUGAUCCGUGCAACCAGAACAGGAAAAUGGUAGAUGUUGGAAAGGAUUACCUCAAUGAGAUGGUUUCUGGGUCUUUCUUGCAACCAUUUUCUGAAAGAUUUUUGGACACAUCCUACAUUAUGCAUGAUCUUCUUCAUGAUUUGGCAGAGUCGCUCUCUAAAGAAGACUGUUUCAGAUUAGAAGAUGAUAAGGUGACAGAAAUACCAUGCACCGUCCGUCGUCUGUCUGUUCGUGUUGAGAGCAUGAAACAACAUCAGCUCAGUAUCUGCAAGCUACAUCAUUUGCGCACUGUUAUCUGCAUUGACCCACUUACAGAUGAUGUGAGUGAUGUUUUUAGUCAGGUACUUCAAAACUUGAAGAAGUUACGUGUACUCUAUUUGUGCUUCUACAAUAGUAACAAGCUACCCAAAUCUGUGGGUAAGCUGAAACACCUUCGGUAUUUAAACCUCAUUAAAACUUCCAUUGUCGAAUUGCCUGGAUCAUUAUGUGCUCUUUACCACCUACAGUUACUCCUGUUGAACCAUAAAGUUACGAGUUUGCCUCACAAACUAUGUAAAUUAAGCAAGUUACGGCAUCUUGAAGGGUAUCGUGAUCUGGGAUAUAGGAUGUAUGAAGUAGCUCUGCCUCAAAUCCCUUAUAUAGGCAAGCUAACUUUGCUCCAGCAUGUUGAAGAUUUUUGUGUGCAAAAGCAGAAGGGGUAUGAGUUGCGGCAGCUCAGAGACAUGAAAGAGCUUGGUGGCAGUUUAAGAGUCAGAAAUCUCGAGAAUGUUACUGGAAAGAAUGAAGCCUUAGAGUUGAAGCUAUAUCAGAAAAGUCAUCUUAGAAGCUUGGCCCUUGUCUGGAGUUGCAAUAAUGGCAAGAAUGCAGAUGACAGUUUACAGUUGGAGAUUCUAGAAGGUUUGAUGCCACCGCCUCAACUGAAAGGCCUCGAGAUCAAGGGUUACAAAUCUGCCACGUAUCCAAGUUGGUUACUUGAGGGUUCAUAUUUUGAGAAUUUGGAAUCUUUUAAGCUUGUCGAUUGCAGUGCCUUAGAAGGCCUGCCACUCAAUACUGAGCUCUUCAGGCAUUGCUCAAAACUAGAGCUCGAGAAUGUCUCGACUCUGAAAACGUUAUCGUGUCUUCCAGCAGCCCUUACAUGCUUAUCAAUUAGCAGUUGCCCACUGCUUAUAUUUAUUACCAGUGAUGAGCUAGAACAGCAUGAUCAGAUGGAAAACAUCAUGAGAACAGACCACUUGGCAUCACAACUUGCUUCGAUAUGGGAGGUGGAUUCUGAAUCGGAAAUUAAGGAAGUAUUAUUGUCAGAACAUUCAUCUCUGAAGCAAAUGAUGACAUUAAUGGAUGCUGACAUGUCACAUCUUCAAACGAUUGCAUGUGCUGUAGAAAGAGAGCACGGUGAGUUAGUUCUGGAAGAUGAUAUCAUUAAGGCAUGGAUAUGUUGCCACGAGCAGAGGAUGAGAUUCAUUUAUGGUAGAAGCAUCAACUUGCCGUUGGUUCCACCAUCAGGUCUUCGCGCACUUCGUCUUUCUUCAUGCAGUGUUACAGAUGAGGCAUUAGCUGUUUGCCUUGGUGGUCUCACGUCACUGAGAAGUUUGUUCUUAAUGUAG
RNAcentral lists this ribosomal RNA (3000 nucleotides) under Triticum aestivum (bread wheat). Its description in RNAcentral is "partial small subunit ribosomal RNA". The record is from RNAcentral. Lineage: Eukaryota; Viridiplantae; Streptophyta; Magnoliopsida; Poales; Poaceae.